UACGUAGGGUGCAAGCGUUGUCCGGAAUUAUUGGGCGUAAAGAGCUCGUAGGCGGUUUGGUAAGUCGGGUGUGAAGUCUCCACGCUCAACGUGGAGGGGCCACUCGAUACUGCCAUGACUCGAGUCCGGUAGAGGAGUGUGGAAUUCCCGGUGUAGCGGUGAAAUGCGCAGAUAUCGGGAGGAACACCCGUAGCGAAGGCGGCACUCUGGGCCGGAACUGACGCUGAGGAGCGAAAGCGUGGGGAGCAAACAGG
This 254-nucleotide ribosomal RNA is filed under the name uncultured bacterium. RNAcentral's name for it is "partial 16S ribosomal RNA". It matches the Rfam family "Bacterial small subunit ribosomal RNA", at positions 524 to 776 of the family's 1533-position model. The record is from RNAcentral.